This is a non-coding RNA of Caenorhabditis elegans, 205 nucleotides long. Lineage: Eukaryota; Metazoa; Nematoda; Chromadorea; Rhabditida; Rhabditidae. The record is from Ensembl.
AAUAUUCACAUAGAACACCGCCGCCUUGAACAAUAAUUAGGAAAUGUGAGCGUGGUUGGUGUAGUAAUCUACAAGGGUGGGCUCAAUUGGCGGCUACGCUUGUUAUUAAUUUGAGAAUGUACAUAUGUAUGUUAAGAAUUGACUCUGCUACCAACGAUAAUUCCAACGAUAAUUCCAACGAUAAUUGAAAGACGUUAUUACUAAC